This 253-nucleotide ribosomal RNA is filed under the name uncultured bacterium. RNAcentral describes it as "partial 16S ribosomal RNA". It matches the Rfam family "Bacterial small subunit ribosomal RNA", at positions 524 to 776 of the family's 1533-position model. The record is from RNAcentral.
UACGGAGGAUCCAAGCGUUAUCCGGAUUUAUUGGGUUUAAAGGGUGCGUAGGCGGUUUCUUAAGUCAGUGGUGAAAGUUUGCAGCUUAACUGUAAAAUUGCCAUUGAAACUGGGAGACUUGAAUACGGUAGAGGUAAGCGGAAUGCGUGGUGUAGCGGUGAAAUGCAUAGAUAUCACGCAGAACCCCGAUUGCGAAGGCAGCUUACUGGACCGUUAUUGACGCUGAGGCACGAAAGCGUGGGGAUCAAACAGG